Molecule: ribosomal RNA, 199 nt
Filed under: Meliola palmicola var. africana
Lineage: Eukaryota; Fungi; Ascomycota; Sordariomycetes; Meliolales; Meliolaceae
Description: partial large subunit ribosomal RNA
Rfam family: Eukaryotic large subunit ribosomal RNA
Source: RNAcentral
ACGGAAGGAAAAGAAACAACAGGGAUUGCCCUAGUAACUGCGAGUGAAGCGGCAACAGCCCAGAUUUGAAAUCCGAUUCUCCUUGUGGGAAUCCGAGUUGUAAUCUGUAGAGGAUGUCGCUGGCUGACAGCUGCUCCCAAGUCCCCUGGAAUGGGGCGCCAUAUAGGGUGAGAGCCCCGUGUGGUGUGGCUGGAACACC